UACAGAGGGGGCAAGCGUUAUUCGGAAUUAUUGGGCGUAAAGGGCGCGUAGGCGGCUUGGCAAGUGGAUGGUGAAAUCCCUCGGCUUAACCGAGGAACUGCCGUCCAAACUGCUUCGCUUGAGACCGGGAGAGGUGAGUGGAAUUCCCAGUGUAGCGGUGAAAUGCGUAGAUAUUGGGGAGGAACACCAGUGGCGAAGGCGGCUCACUGGACCGGUACUGACGCUGAGGCGCGAAAGCGUGGGAGCAACGGG
This 252-nucleotide ribosomal RNA is filed under the name uncultured bacterium. RNAcentral's name for it is "partial 16S ribosomal RNA". It matches the Rfam family "Bacterial small subunit ribosomal RNA", at positions 524 to 776 of the family's 1533-position model. The record is from RNAcentral.